CUUGGCGACCAUAGCACUUUGGACCCACCUGAUUUCCAUUCCGAACUCAGAAGUGAAACGAAGUAGCGUCGAUGGUAGUGUGG
RNAcentral lists this ribosomal RNA (83 nucleotides) under Vibrio parahaemolyticus. The record is from RNAcentral. Lineage: Bacteria; Pseudomonadati; Pseudomonadota; Gammaproteobacteria; Vibrionales; Vibrionaceae.